AGUGAACGCUGGCGGUAGGCCUAACACAUGCAAGUCGAACGGCAGCACAGUACAAGCUUGCUCUUACGGGUGGCGAGUGGCGGACGGGUGAGGAAUACAUCGGAAUCUACUUUUUCGUGGGGGAUAACGUAGGGAAACUUACGCUAAUACCGCAUACGACCUACGGGUGAAAGCAGGGGAUCUUCGGACCUUGCGCGAUUGAAUGAGCCGAUGUCGGAUUAGCUAGUUGGCGGGGUAAAGGCCCACCAAGGCGACGAUCCGUAGCUGGUCUGAGAGGAUGAUCAGCCACACUGGAACUGAGACACGGUCCAGACUCCUACGGGAGGCAGCAGUGGGGAAUAUUGGACAAUGGGCGCAAGCCUGAUCCAGCCAUACCGCGUGGGUGAAGAAGGCCUUCGGGUUGUAAAGCCCUUUUGUUGGGAAAGAAAAGCAGAAGGUUAAUACCCCGCUGUUCUGACGGUACCCAAAGAAUAAGCACCGGCUAACUUCGUG
Molecule: ribosomal RNA, 492 nt
Filed under: uncultured bacterium
Lineage: Bacteria
Description: partial 16S ribosomal RNA
Rfam family: Bacterial small subunit ribosomal RNA
Source: RNAcentral